UGAAAUGCAAUGAUAAGGAAUAGUACAUGCAAACCGGAGCGCAGAGAGCUGUCGGCUGGUGUAAGGCAGCAGAAGGAAUCCAUGGAACUCGCCUUUGAGCAUCUGUCCGAAAUCCGAUAAGGAGAGUAGACACAGACGGUAUCCACCGUUAUAUGGAGAGGAUAUAAGGAUCCAAUGAUCCCGUAUCCCUUGAGUGUAUGAAACCGUUCAUAAAUAAGAGUGGUACCGCGAAAGUUACUGUCUUUCGUCUCUUAC
RNAcentral lists this non-coding RNA (255 nucleotides) under Blautia sp. RNAcentral's name for it is "T-box sequence". It matches the Rfam family "T-box leader". From Rfam's summary of the family: Uncharged tRNA acts as the effector for transcription antitermination of genes in the T-box leader family. T-boxes are found upstream of many aminoacyl-tRNA synthetase genes and some amino acid biosynthetic genes usually in Gram-positive bacteria. The record is from RNAcentral. Lineage: Bacteria; Bacillati; Bacillota; Clostridia; Lachnospirales; Lachnospiraceae.